This 562-nucleotide long non-coding RNA is filed under the name Homo sapiens (human). RNAcentral's name for it is "HSALNT0251007". Lineage: Eukaryota; Metazoa; Chordata; Mammalia; Primates; Hominidae. The record is from RNAcentral.
GCAGGUGUUAGGAAUCGCGUUGGGGAAUUCAGCCAAAAAUAAGGUCCCCGUGGAAAGGCUGCAGGGAGCCUUGGCCACAGGGAGAAUUACAGGAAAACCUCAACCUGGACAGACCACGCUUGGGGCUCUUCAAGCACGGAAAAGAAUCCUUGCCGGGCAGUUCCAGAGAUGGGUCCCCUGAGGAGCCUGCAGAGCUAUUUCAGCCACACCAGUGUCACCUGAAUGGAUUUCUGAAACUCUUCUCUGGCAACUUCCAGUAGUUUCCAAGCAACCCAGAAGAACAGGUCUCAUGACUUUAGAGGACUCAUCUUUUUUUUUUUUUUUUUUCCUGGAAAAGCAUAGUCCCUGAUUUGAUAUCCAGUCUCAUUCACAACCUUGCACUGUGUCCUUGGGCCAAAGCUUUGGGCCCACUGAGGAAAAUCAAAAGAAUGAGCUGCCACCAAUUCCCAAAGAUACAUCUCCAAGAGGAAGUGGGGCAGCAGCACCGCCACCGGAACAAGUGUGGGUCUCUCAAGGCUCCAUGAUCUCCAGGCACACGUUCACGAUGCACUGGAUCUCCAGC